This 77-nucleotide transfer RNA is filed under the name Chloroflexota bacterium. RNAcentral's name for it is "Chloroflexi bacterium tRNA-Val". It matches the Rfam family "tRNA". From Rfam's summary of the family: Transfer RNA (tRNA) molecules are approximately 80 nucleotides in length. Their secondary structure includes four short double-helical elements and three loops (D, anti-codon, and T loops). Lineage: Bacteria; Bacillati; Chloroflexota. RNAcentral also lists the same sequence under 2 other names. The record is from RNAcentral.
GGGCGGUUAGCUCAGCUGGUUAGAGCACCUGCCUUACAAGCAGGGGGUCGCAGGUUCGAGUCCUGCACCGCCCACCA